UCCAGACUCCUACGGGAGGCAGCAGUGAGGAAUAUUGGUCAAUGGCCGUAAGGCUGAACCAGCCAAGUAGCGUGAGGGAAGACUGCCCUAUGGGUUGUAAACCUCUUUUAUGCGGGGAUAAAGGUGUCCACGUGUGGAUGUUUGCAGGUACCGCAUGAAUAAGGACCGGCUAAUUCCGUGCCAGCAGCCGCGGUAAUACGGAGGAUGCGAGCGUUAUCCGGAUUUAUUGGGUUUAAAGGGUGCGCAGGCGGAAGAUCAAGUCAGCGGUAAAAUUGAGAGGCUCAACCUCUUCGAGCCGUUGAAACUGGUCUUCUUGAGUGAGCGAGAAGUAUGCGGAAUGCGUGGUGUAGCGGUGAAAUGCAUAGAUAUCACGCAGAACUCCGAUUGCGAAGGCAGCAUACCGGCGCUCAACUGACGCUCAUGCACGAAAGUGUGGGUAUCGAACAGGAUUAGAUACCCUUGUACCA
Molecule: ribosomal RNA, 467 nt
Filed under: uncultured bacterium
Lineage: Bacteria
Description: bacterial SSU rRNA
Rfam family: Bacterial small subunit ribosomal RNA
Source: RNAcentral